GCUGGCUUAGCUCAGUGGCAGAAGCGGCUGCUUUACACGCAGUAGGUCACAGGUUCGAUCCCUGUAGCUAGCA
This 73-nucleotide transfer RNA is filed under the name Moesziomyces antarcticus T-34. Its description in RNAcentral is "tRNA-Val (TAC) (tRNA-Val-TAC-1-1)". It matches the Rfam family "tRNA". From Rfam's summary of the family: Transfer RNA (tRNA) molecules are approximately 80 nucleotides in length. Their secondary structure includes four short double-helical elements and three loops (D, anti-codon, and T loops). Lineage: Eukaryota; Fungi; Basidiomycota; Ustilaginomycetes; Ustilaginales; Ustilaginaceae. The record is from RNAcentral.